CCUACGGGAGGCUGCAGUGGGGAAUAUUGCACAAUGGGCGAAAGCCUGAUGCAGCGACGCCGCGUGAGUGAAGAAGUACUUCGUUAUGUAAAGCUCUAUCAGCAGGGAAGAAAAUGACGGUACCUGAGUAGGAAGCCCCGGCUAACUACGUGCCAGCAGCCGCGGGCAUACGGAGGGGGCGAGCGUUAUCCGGAUUUACUGGGUGUAAAGGGAGCGUAGACGGCAGUGCAAGUCUGGAGUGAAAGUCGGGGGCGCAACCCCCGGACUGCUCUGGAAACUGGACGGCUGGAGUGCAGGAGAGGUAAGUGGAAUGCCUGGUGUAGCGGUGAAAUGCGUAGAUAUCAGGAGGAACAGCAGUGGCGAAGGCGGCUUACUGGACUGUAACUGACGGUGAGGCGCGAAAGCGUGGGGAGCAAACAGGAUUAGAUACCCCUGUAGUC
This 440-nucleotide ribosomal RNA is filed under the name uncultured bacterium. RNAcentral's name for it is "partial 16S ribosomal RNA". It matches the Rfam family "Bacterial small subunit ribosomal RNA", at positions 338 to 795 of the family's 1533-position model. The record is from RNAcentral.